This 1099-nucleotide long non-coding RNA is filed under the name Marmota monax (woodchuck). Lineage: Eukaryota; Metazoa; Chordata; Mammalia; Rodentia; Sciuridae. The record is from RNAcentral.
GCAGGUGCAUGAAUUUUAAUGAAGGGGAAUGAUGGCAGGUCUGAGUUUGAGGAGGGUGAUCACCAACAUUCAGGGUAUCUUGGGCCAGUGCUUUGCGUAGGACAAAACACCAGGUUCGUCUUUGCCAGCCACAUUUAUCCUCAUGAAGGACUGGAGACAGCACGACUGGUAAUUUCUGCAGUAGAAGUAGGUAUGCUCUAUCUUCCUGCAAGCGGUCCUGCAGACGCCCAUGCUACCCAUGCAUCGAAGGAGGGAAUGUCUUCCUGGACAAAAUAUAAAAUAACAUGACAGUGAUAAUUAAUUUCCACUUGGCAGUGACAUAGAUCUGAUGGGUCCGGGAGCAUCAUAAAAACCUAAAGGUUGACAGAGACUUCCACUUCCAGAAAAACAGUGCCAAAGUCAUUUUCUCUACUUGUCUUCUUAAAACCCUGGGCAUUAUACAUAAAUAUAAGAAUCCUCUGAAAGGUAAAGAGAAGAAGUCAAGCCAGGCAGGGACCUCAAGAUCUGAGGAACGAUCUCUUAGGUUUGAUUUUGCCUCUUAUAUUCUAGGAUGGUGCUGGAGAAGCUGGCAAUCUGGAAAUACAUGUGGGUGCAGAGAUUUUUUUAAAAAGAAGAAGAAGAAGUCCCUAAGAAAAUUCUGCUCUUUCUAGUCCAAAGACCAGGAAAAGGGCAGCCUAGCAAAACAGAACGUUUUAGACAGUAGCCUCUUUGCUCAAAAAACACAGAAAAGUCUACAGCCCCAUUCAUACCUCUAGUAAAUAUGGCCAAGUGGAGAGCUUAGACUUCCGCCCUUUCUAGAGUGAAAAGAAGCGCUGCCUCCGAGGAGGUAGCUGAGAAACCUGAGUGACAGCCUGGACCUUGACCCCUGCUGUGCAGUAACCUCCACCACCACCAGUGUCAACAGAAAUCAUGUGGGGGAGUCUCAACUUCCCCUGCCAAGUGGGAAGAGGGCAUCCUGUCUUGCAUCAGGCAACAGUUACAGGGCCACCAGCCCCUGCGAUGUCACAGGCAGGCCAUGUGGGGAACCAGGGUGAUGUCAGAGGAGGCACACCUGGGAGCUGGAACUGGCGGUGGCAGCCUGCAGUAAUGAGGAGCCACC